RNAcentral lists this transfer RNA (75 nucleotides) under Acidimicrobiia bacterium. RNAcentral's name for it is "tRNA-Gly". It matches the Rfam family "tRNA". Rfam says of the family: Transfer RNA (tRNA) molecules are approximately 80 nucleotides in length. RNAcentral also lists the same sequence under 2 other names. The record is from RNAcentral. Lineage: Bacteria; Bacillati; Actinomycetota; Acidimicrobiia.
GCGGGUGUAGCUCAAUGGCUAGAGCCUCAGAUUUCCAAUCUGAUGAUGAGGGUUCGAUUCCCUUCACCCGCUCCA